UACGGAGGGUGCAAGCGUUAUCCGGAUUUACUGGGUUUAAAGGGUGCGUAGGUGGGUAGGAAAGUCAGUGGUGAAAUCUUCGGGCUUAACCCGGAAACUGCCAUUGAUACUAUUUAUCUUGAAUACUUUGGAGGUAAGCGGAAUAUGUCAUGUAGCGGUGAAAUGCUUAGAUAUGACAUAGAACACCGAUUGCGAAGGCAGCUUACUACACAGUUAUUGACACUGAGGCACGAAAGCGUGGGGAUCAAACAGG
Molecule: ribosomal RNA, 253 nt
Filed under: uncultured bacterium
Lineage: Bacteria
Description: partial 16S ribosomal RNA
Rfam family: Bacterial small subunit ribosomal RNA
Source: RNAcentral